GUGGUGGCUCAGUGGUAAAACACUUGCCUCACAUGUAUGAGGCACUGGGUUCAAUUCUCAGCACCACA
RNAcentral lists this transfer RNA (68 nucleotides) under Marmota marmota marmota (Alpine marmot). It matches the Rfam family "tRNA". Rfam says of the family: Transfer RNA (tRNA) molecules are approximately 80 nucleotides in length. Their secondary structure includes four short double-helical elements and three loops (D, anti-codon, and T loops). Further hydrogen bonds mediate the characteristic L-shaped molecular structure. tRNAs have two regions of fundamental functional importance: the anti-codon, which is responsible for specific mRNA codon recognition, and the 3' end, to which the tRNAs corresponding amino acid is attached (by aminoacyl-tRNA synthetases). tRNAs cope with the degeneracy of the genetic code in two manners: having more than one tRNA (with a specific anti-codon) for a particular amino acid; and 'wobble' base-pairing, i.e. permitting non-standard base-pairing at the 3rd anti-codon position. RNAcentral also lists the same sequence under 1 other name. Lineage: Eukaryota; Metazoa; Chordata; Mammalia; Rodentia; Sciuridae. The record is from Rfam by way of RNAcentral.